This 3727-nucleotide long non-coding RNA is filed under the name Sus scrofa (pig). Its description in RNAcentral is "lncRNA (ENSSSCG00030057712.1)". The record is from RNAcentral. Lineage: Eukaryota; Metazoa; Chordata; Mammalia; Artiodactyla; Suidae.
GUGCCUCUUGUGACUGAGGGACCCAGGCACUAUAACAAUGAGAAAACCAGGACAUAUGUUAUUAAACUCCCAAAGUACAUCUUUUGAGCUGAAAGAAGAAUUUCCCAAUGAAUUAAAUAUGAGAACUCUUUUUAUUUCUCAUAAUGCCCUCUCAUGACGUCUUCUUGGAGACUUCAUGAAGACUUCAUGAAGAGAAGAGGUCUUCUCAUGAAGACCUCUCAAAAUAUGUAUUUCCUAGAACAGAGUUUAGGGUCAUGGUGACCAACAUAUAUUUUCAUAAUAACUUUGGAUGAUAGGAAUAACAAUGUUAAAAACCUUGUAAGGCAUCCACAAAGAAAUAAAGAACUAACUACAAUGGAGCAAAUAAUCAGGAUGACCUAGGCUUAUCCUUUACAACAUCAGGUGCCAAAAGGAACUGGGAACGAUGCCAGAUUUUUGAGAGGAAAAUGUGGUAAUCCAACAAUUCAGUCUUACGCCGAAUUAUAUUUUAUGUGUUAGAGCAUCUGACAACUACUCUCAGAAUAGGAAAAAGUUUAUGUACUACUUAAAAAAAUUCUUGAAGACAUACUCCAAAAGAUCAAGAAAUGAAAAAUUAGAAUUAAAAAUCCCAAAGUCAGAGUAAUGCUUCAACAAUAUUCUGUAAAACUCCAUUACUACAAAACACCCUUAUGCCAGACAUAUUACAACACACUUUACAAUACAUUAGUAAACUCACAAAUAAUUAGAGAGAGUCCUCAUAUACUAGGAAAGAAUGAAGAAUAAACUGAAAUCACAAAAGGGUGAACUUAAAUUCAAACACUACUAACUUUACGGCAAAACUGAUUCAAGGAACUAGAAAUCUAGAAUAAAAAAUAAUCUCAUACAAUUCAAUAACAAUAGCAACAGCAACAACAACAACAAAAAGCAACCCAAUUGAAAAACAGGAGUUCCUGUCGUGGCGCAGUGGUUAACGAAUCCGACUAGGAACCAUGAGGUUGCGGGUUCGGUCCAUGCCCUUGCUCAGUGGGUUAACGAUCCGGCGUUGCCCUACUGAAUUUAGAAUAAUCUACUAUUGAAGUUGUUAAAAAAAAAAAUCAUGGAGGAACACCUAACCAAACUCUCUCAACACACAAAAUACUCUAAAGUUAUGAAAGCUUGUCUAGUUAUUUACACUGAUGAUGGUAUGAAAGAAAAGUAUACCCAAUUAGAAGUGAAAGUACUUUUAUGUUAAUAAUUUUAGUAUAACAAAUAAGACAAAAUAAAAUAAAUAUUACACUCAACUCCAAAAGUUAAAUGUUUAAUAAGAUUUGUAAUUGAAAGAAUAAGAAUUGUGAAAGAACUUACAUAUUCUGUAUCAAUAACUCCAGAAUAUUUAGUCUUGUUGCUAACUUAACUGUAUGCACAAGAAAUCAUUUGCUCUUCAAACACUAUUUAAGAAAAUCAGUAAUUUUUAUUUUUGUCACAUUUUCCCAAGAUUUUCAAAGAAAUAUUCUGUUAGUAAGGGAUCAUUCUAAAUAUAUUGUUUGGAAAUGAACUUUCAUGUCCUUUGACGUAUAAGCCAAAAAAAAAAAAAAAGUUCCAGAAUAAAUGUCAUUAUAUGCCAAGAAUUCUAAAUCAUAUGUAUUCACAAUACUAUACAUAAACAUUACUGUUAUCCUUAAUUUUUUUCAGAGGGAAAUGAUACAUAAAGGAAUUGAAUAAAUUUUGCAAUCAUAUAGCUUGUAAGGGUGGAACUAGGCUAAAAACUCAGGUAGUUUAUCUCUAGAACACACACUCUAAAUCAUAAUAAAACACUGCUUUGCAGAAGUAUGAGUAAAAAUCAACUAGAAAUAAAGAGUUUUAGAAAACUUAAAUAUUGCAUGACCUAGAAGAAACUUUUAGUAUUUGAACUGAUAGAUUAUGAGAUCAAUUAACUUGUGGCUUUUGUAAUGCAGGAUGUUAGCUUCCACAGUGGUAAGUUAAUAUGAUAUCAAUAAAAUUUCCCACAUGUAAAAUUUACAUUUCUAAACUUUAAGUGACUUUAAAAAUAACAGAAAUCAACCACAGGAAAAGAAGUGAAAAAAAACCUACUACAUGGAGACUAAACAACAUGCUACUAAAAAACUAGUGGGUCAAUGAGGAAAUCAAGAAGGAAAUUAAAAAAUACUUCGAGACAAAUGAUAAUGAAGACACAACCACUCAAAAUCAAUGAGAUGCUGCAAAAGCAGUGCUCAGAAGGAAGUUCAUAGCAAUACAGGCCUUCCUCAAAAAAGAAGAAAAAUCUCAAAUUGACAACUUAACCCAUCACCUAAAUGAAUUAGAAAAAGAACAAGCAAAACCUAAAGUCAACAGAAGGAAGGAAAUCGUAAAGAUCAAAGAGGAAAUCAAUAAAAUAUAGAUUCAAAAAACAACAGACAUUGCCAAAUUCAUUGAUGAGCUCUAACAGUUUUCUGGUAGAGUCUUUAGGAUUCUCUAGGUAUAGUAUCAUGUCACCUGCAAAUAGCAAUAGUAUUACUUCUUCCCUUCCAAUUUGAAAACCUUCUAUCUCUUUUACAUCUUUGACUGCUGUAGCUAGGAAUUCCAAAAUUAUGUUGAAUAGUAGUGAGAGAGGACAUCCUUAUCUUGUUCCUGAUCUCAGCGGGAAUUCUUUCAGCUUUUCACCAUUGAGAAUGAUGUUAGCUGCGGGUUUGUCAUAUAUGGCCUUUAUGAUAUUGAGGUAGGUUCCCUCUAUGCCCACUUUCUGAAGGGUUUUUUAUCAGAAAUGGGUAUUGGAUUUUGUCAAAGGCUUUUUCUGCAUCUAUUGAGAGGAUCAUAUGGUUUUUAUUCUUCAGUUUGUUAAUGUUGUGUAUCACACUGAUGGAUUUGCAGAUACUGAAGAAGCCUUGCAUCCCUGGGAUAAAUCCCACUCAAUCAUGACGUACAAUACUUUUAAAGUAUUGUUGGAUGAGGUUUUGCUAGUAUUUUGUUGAGGAUUUUUGCAUCUAUGUUCAUCACUGAAAUAUGCCUGUAGUUUUCUUUUUUUGUGGUAUCUUUGUCUAGUUUUGGUAUCAGGGUGAUGGUGGCCUCAUAGAAUGAGUUUGGGAGUAUUUCUUCCUCUGCAAUUUUUUGAAAUAGUUUCAGAAGGAUAGGUAUUAGCUCUUCUCCAAAUUUUUGAUAGAAUUCACCUGUGAAGCCAUCUGGUCCUGGACUUUUGUUUGUUGGAAGUUUUUAAAUCACAGUUUCAAUUUCAGUUCUUAUGAUUGGUCCAUUCAUUUUUUCUAUUUCAUCUUGGUUUAGUCUUGGAAGAUUGUACCUUUCUAAGAAUUUGUCCAUUUCUUCUAGGUUUUCCAUUUUAUUGGCAUAUAACUGCUACAGUAGUCUCUUAUGAACCUUGGUAUUUCUGUGGUGUCUGUUGUUACUUCUCCUUUUUCAUUUCUAAUUUUAUUGAUUUGAGUCCUCUCUCUUUAUUUCUUGAUAAGUCUGGCUAAGGGUUUAUCAAUUUUGUUGAUCUUUUCAAAGAACCAGCUUUUCAUUUAAUUGAUCUUUUCUAUGGUUUUCUUCCUUUCUAUUUUAUUGAUUUCUUCUCUGGUCUUUAUGAUAUCUUUCCCUCUACUAACUUUAGGUUUUGUCUGUUCUUCUCUCUUGAGCUGCUUUAGAUGUUAAGUUAGCUCGUUUAUUUGAGCUUUUUCUUGUUUCCUGAGGUGGGCUUGUAUUGCUAUAAACUUUCCUCUUAAAUCGGCUUUUGUUACAUCCCAUAGGUUUUGGAGUGUUGUAUCUUUGUUGUCAUUUG